AAGUCGUAACAAGGUUUCCGUAGGUGAACCUGCGGAAGGAUCAUUAACACGUAUCCAAACGUUAAAACCCCCCCCGUGAACCUUCAUCCUGCUCUUGUAACCCGCGUAGUUCGCAAUCUCUGAUAAAUCAUAGCCCGGAAAGUUGUAGUGAUUCAGAGACCUCUGGCUACGUGCGAACAUUGGAACAGUUACAAUCGAGCGGUAGUUCUAUAGGCAAUGUUUCCCCAAGCAGUCAGUGUCGGAAAGUGUCAUUGAUUGUGCAAGGAUAGCGCUUCUACGAUUCCUGUCACAUUAAACUGUGGGGUUAUUAGGGGGCAUGGAGACCCUUUGGCAAAGCUCCUGCCCGAGUGUCCUGCCCGAGUGUACGGUCUACAUUGGGUAAAAAAACCGAACAACUGUUAACAAUGGAUAUCUUGGUUCUC
Molecule: unclassified non-coding RNA, 422 nt
Filed under: fungal sp.
Lineage: Eukaryota; Fungi
Description: partial internal transcribed spacer region
Rfam family: Eukaryotic small subunit ribosomal RNA (bases 1-46)
Source: RNAcentral